AAGAGCCUGUGAAAUCAAGAGA
Molecule: microRNA, 22 nt
Filed under: Pristionchus pacificus
Lineage: Eukaryota; Metazoa; Nematoda; Chromadorea; Rhabditida; Neodiplogasteridae
Description: ppc-miR-8364c-3p
Source: miRBase by way of RNAcentral